GGACGGGUGAGUAACGCGUGGGAACGUGCCCUUCUCUGCGGAAUAGCCACUGGAAACGGUGAGUAAUACCGCAUACGCCCUUCGGGGGAAAGAUUUAUCGGAGAAGGAUCGGCCCGCGUUAGAUUAGGUAGUUGGUGGGGUAAUGGCCUACCAAGCCUACGAUCUAUAGCUGGUUUGAGAGGAUGAUCAGCCACACUGGGACUGAGACACGGCCCAGACUCCUACGGGAGGCAGCAGUGGGGAAUCUUAGACAAUGGGCGCAAGCCUGAUCUAGCCAUGCCGCGUGAGUGAUGAAGGCCUUAGGGUCGUAAAGCUCUUUCGCUGGGGAAGAUAAUGACUGUACCCAGUAAAGAAACCCCGGCUAACUCCGUGCCAGCAGCCGCGGUAAUACGGAGGGGGUUAGCGUUGUUCGGAAUUACUGGGCGUAAAGCGCGCGUAGGCGGAUCAGAAAGUUGGGGGUGAAAUCCCGGGGCUCAACCUCGGAACUGCCUCCAAAACUCCUGGUCUUGAGUUCGAGAGAGGUGAGUGGAAUUCCGAGUGUAGAGGUGAAAUUCGUAGAUAUUCGGAGGAACACCAGUGGCGAAGGCGGCUCACUGGCUC
Molecule: ribosomal RNA, 600 nt
Filed under: Salipiger thiooxidans
Lineage: Bacteria; Pseudomonadati; Pseudomonadota; Alphaproteobacteria; Rhodobacterales; Roseobacteraceae
Description: bacterial SSU rRNA
Rfam family: Bacterial small subunit ribosomal RNA
Source: RNAcentral